This 480-nucleotide long non-coding RNA is filed under the name Capsicum annuum. RNAcentral's name for it is "long non-coding RNA (CANN_LNC019059)". The record is from RNAcentral. Lineage: Eukaryota; Viridiplantae; Streptophyta; Magnoliopsida; Solanales; Solanaceae.
AAAAGUGCCACAAAAAGAGUUGUAGGUGUACUUGAGGUGGACCAAUUAACCGACCUAUCAGAAUAGGUUUUUGCAUUACAGAAUUUGAUCAACACUUGGUUUAGCUACAUAAAAUUAGGAGCUCCACAACCUGCCACAUCCGUCAAUGUAGUUAAAAAAAUUAGUGGAUGGUUUGAGAUACGCAUAAAUAGUGGUCAUUCUGUGAUCAUAUGUUCUUCAAAUCAAGAAUUAGUGAUGUAUGUGGGUAAUAUGAAAAUGACAAAGUAUGGUAAUGCCUACAAUAUGAAGUGGCAUACUUAGCCAUUAAAUCAACCAUGGAACGCCCCACAUCAACAGGCCCAACCAAAUUAAUCAAAUAACAAUAUAGAGUAGAUUAUGAAAUAGAUCUUAGCUAAUUAGACACAGUUUGUUGUAGACUUACAAAAUUUAUAAGCAGCCACAAGAAGUAUAGAGUUGUAUAUGGAAAAAAUUAGCAAGCAG